GGCUCCUGGAAGCUCCAUUUCCUUUGGAAACUGGGAUAAACCCUGUGGUCCUGCAGGGCUGUGGAUGCUGCUCUGCUCCCAGGGCACACAGCACAACCUGCCAGCUUUGCUCUGAGUGGAGACACCACUCCUGUCAAAUGGCAAUCAUGUCAGCACUUUGCAGCUUCACUUCAGAGCUAUCAACAGCAUCAAUCUUGCUGACCCCACUGACAAAGCAGCAAAAAAAACCCCCAAAAAACAGGCAGAAAGAAACAAAGGAGGGAAUGUGAGACCACAGAGUAGGGAAAACAAACCAGGCAUCCAGUUGUAUUGGAUUGUGAGGGAUGCUCACUAAUAUGACUGACAGAUUGCCUGUCUACACAGAAUCCAAACUAGACAGCAAAAUUACUUUAAAUAGUUCUUC
Long non-coding RNA from Zonotrichia leucophrys gambelii, 403 nucleotides. RefSeq lists it as uncharacterized. The transcript is spliced from 3 exons. Lineage: Eukaryota; Metazoa; Chordata; Aves; Passeriformes; Passerellidae. The record is from RefSeq and is a predicted model, not a curated record.